UACGGGAGGCAGCAGUGGGGGAUAUUGCACAAUGGGGGAAACCCUGAUGCAGCGACGCCGCGUGAGUGAAGAAGUAUUUCGGUAUGUAAAGCUCUAUCAGCAGGGAAGAAAAUGACGGUACGUGACUAAGAAGCUCCGGCUAAAUACGUGCCUUGCAGCCG
RNAcentral lists this ribosomal RNA (161 nucleotides) under uncultured rumen bacterium. RNAcentral describes it as "partial 16S ribosomal RNA". It matches the Rfam family "Bacterial small subunit ribosomal RNA", at positions 340 to 517 of the family's 1533-position model. The record is from RNAcentral.